CUUGGUCAUUUAGAGGAAGUAAAAGUCGUAACAAGGUUUCCGUAGGUGAACCUGCGGAAGGAUCAUUAGUGAAUCUAGGACGUCCAACUUAACUUGGAGUCCGAACUCUCACUUUCUAACCCUGUGCAUCUGUUAAUUGGAAUAGUAGCUCUUCGGAGUGAACCACCAUUCACUUAUAAAACACAAAGUCUAUGAAUGUAUACAAAUUUAUAACAAAACAAAACUUUCAACAACGGAUCUCUUGGCUCUCGCAUCGAUGAAGAACGCAGCGAAAUGCGAUACGUAAUGUGAAUUGCAGAAUUCAGUGAAUCAUCGAAUCUUUGAACGCACCUUGCGCUCCUUGGUAUUCCGAGGAGCAUGCCUGUUUGAGUGUCAUGAAAUCUUCAACCCACCUCUUUCUUAGUGAAUCUGGUGGUGCUUGGUUUCUGAGCGCUGCUCUGCUUCGGCUUAGCUCGUUCGUAAUGCAUUAGCAUCCGCAACCGAACUUCGGAUUGACUUGGCGUAAUAGACUAUUCGCUGAGGAUUCUAGUUUACUAGAGCCGAGUUGGGUUAAAGGAAGCUCCUAAUCCUAAAGUCUAUUUUUUGAUUAGAUCUCAAAUCAGGUAGGACUACCCGCUGAACUUAAGCAUAUCAAUAAGCGGAGGAAAAGAAACUAACGAGGAUUCCCCUAGUAGCGGCGAGCGAAGCGGGAAGAGCUCAAAUUUAUAAUCUGGCACCUUCGGUGUCCGAGUUGUAAUCUCUAGAAGUGUUUUCCGCGUUGGACCGCACACAAGUCUGUUGGAAUACAGCGGCAUAGUGGUGAAACCCCCGUAUAUGGUGCGGACGCCCAGCGCUUUGUGAUACACUUUCAAUGAGUCGAGUUGUUUGGGAAU
RNAcentral lists this small RNA (872 nucleotides) under uncultured Rhodotorula. RNAcentral describes it as "eukaryotic LSU rRNA". The stretch from base 589 to 872 matches the Rfam family "Eukaryotic large subunit ribosomal RNA", at positions 1 to 281 of the family's 3401-position model. The record is from RNAcentral. Lineage: Eukaryota; Fungi; Basidiomycota.